RNAcentral lists this unclassified non-coding RNA (6125 nucleotides) under Harpegnathos saltator (Jerdon's jumping ant). RNAcentral describes it as "mAP7 domain-containing protein 1, transcript variant X2". Lineage: Eukaryota; Metazoa; Arthropoda; Insecta; Hymenoptera; Formicidae. The record is from RNAcentral.
GUUCUCGCCUGGAGACCGUCCAGUGCGUACAGGUGAUCCGGGACCAGGCCAGUCCUCGAAUCCGGGUUCGUUCGUCGCGAUGACGCGUCGGCUCGCCACGAGGCGGACGCGAGGCUCGCGCGUCUCGGGCCAGGAGAUACUCGCGUAAGCCGCGAGCCCGACAUCUCCGAUCAUCCGGAUCGUGGACAGGCGGCUCGCGCGAGACGCGACCGGUCGCGCCGUCGUCUAACGAAGCGAUGUAGUGCCGUUGCUCGCCCACGUGACGUGUGCCGGUGUGUGUGUGUGUGUGUGUGUGUGUGUAUGUGUGUGUGACGUCGUCGCGGCCCGCGUCAACGCGCUGCGAGGAGACGACGACGAUGAACGGCGAGCGAGACUCGUGAUCGUCCGGCGCGCGGGCUCCGGGCGGCAAGAGUGCCGCGAGAGGAUUCGCGGGCGAGAAGAAGCAGAGGAGAGGCCCCGACGAGAGAGGAGACACACGGGCCGGUCCGGUGGGGCCCCGGCCAUGGGGGAGACAGCAUGUUCUCCGAGCUGUGCAGGGAGACCCUGCGGAAGGCAGCAGUGUGCUACAGUUCUGCUCGUGCAGGAAGUCCAUCACCAUCGCCACCAACGUCUCCGCCGCCAUCACCCGCCAAGGAGGCAAAGACUGCUGCCAACGCUGACCUGGCAAAUGUCCGUGACGCCGGCCACGAGGGAGCCAGAGACCAGCAGCAGCAGCAGCAGCAGCAUCAUCAUCAUCCAGGGACCAUCGGAAGACGAGGAUCGCCGGCGGGCGGGAACGCCGCCGCCGGCGAGCCCCGAGACUCGGCCGCGGAGAGAUCGACGACCGAGCGUUCGAACGACGUCAGGGAGUACGUUUACAUCCGAAAGCGGCCGGCGAUGCCCACCGACUUCAGCAAGCGACUGCCCGGGCUCGAGGCGAGGGAGGGUCGACGCGGCGGCGCUGGCACGUGCGUCGUCGAUCCCCGGGAGUCCCGAUCGGUGUCCCCCGAGAAGGGACGGCAGCAGCACGAGGACAACAACCAAGGAGGAGGAGGAGGAGGAGGAGGAGGUGCCGGCGAGUGCGGUAGACCGGACUCGAGACUCGGCAGACGUUCUCCAGGGUCGUCGCCCGAACCCGAGGACAACUCCUCAACUUCUGGCGACGAAGCUGGAGCCGCUCCUGAGGAAACUAACCAAAGGUCCAGUUCUGCACACAAUCGCCACUCUCUCACGAAGGAGCAAACGAUGCACUGGUUCGCCCAGAUCGGAGUCGGCGACGACGACGCACUCGCUUUGCCAGAUGUGAAGCGCCGGCGAAGUCUCUACGAUGAGGAUUCCCUCGAUGGCGAUCGUCCUUACGAGAAUGAAGGACGCGACUCGACGGGAAGCUCGAAAGAGUUGGACAGGGCGAAGCUUGUCCGCGAGAGACAGAACGAGGAGCGGCAGCGGAAGUUGGAGGAGCUCAGGCAACAGGCGCUCGCCGCGCAACGCUUCCGGGAGCAGCGCGAGGAGGAGCGACGAAGACGCAUCGACGAGCUCAGAUCGCGUGACAACGACAGACGAAACCAAGUGGAGGAGAGAAAACGGCUGAUAUGCGAGGCCGAACGGGAAAGACGGGAGGCUAUCCUCCGGAAGAACCAGGAGAGGGAGGCGCGCAUCGAGGCGAAGAAGAAGAACGAGAGAUCGCACAUUGUCUUCGCGUUCGGCAGCUCCACGCCGCGGAUGCUGGAGCCCGCCGACACCGGCGGCUCCACCUUCUGGGGCACCCGCAGGGCCACCUCCACCACCAACGUCAUGAUGUUCUCCGCGGCGCAGCCGCUCACCAGGAGAUCCUCCGAGAGAGAGCUGGACGGCAGCAAGAAGCGGGCCACUUCCGCCGGUGGACUCGACCGGAAGCCCGGAGAAGAUAUGAGAAUGUCCUCGUCCAUGUACGAGGUGUUCAAUUGGAAUUCUAGCCCCGAUCCUCCUUUAACUCCUGCCAAGCAUAAGAGAGCCAGCCUCUCUCUACCUCCCACAACCGACAUCUUUGCCGUCGAUGAUAAAUCCGAUAGCGACACUCGGCGUCCCAUGAUUCAGCGGGCUGCCAGUGGUGAGGAGAGCGACGGCACCACACCCAGCACACCCAGCUCGGUUUACCUGCGGGUGAACAGGAGGCGCACCGACCUCAUGCCGACGAUACCGUCCCCGCGUGACGGCCCGCCGUCGACGGCGCGCAGCUCCAGCGCCAAGGCCUUCACACGUUCGCCAGGUAGGACUUACUCCAUGUCCAGGCUGGACCAGCUGGCGCAGCCUCGGAAACGCGCGACCGAGCAGCUCGGCACGCUGACGGAACAGCAGCAGCACCAGCACGAGCAGCAGCAGCAACAGCAGCAGCAGCAGCAGCAGCAACAAAGCCAGCCUCUGAGCGCUUCUAGCAUGAGCCGCAGCAUGUCGCACUUGGCCGCGCCCGGAGGUGUCAAAAGUCUCAAACGUUCAGACAACUCGCGUAGCAUGGGCACGCUGCCGGGCGCGGCGCCGAUACCGAGACCUACCCGCGCCGAGCGACUACGCCGCAAGGCGCGCGAGCACCAGCAGGCUCAACAACAGCAGCAGCAGCAAGGUAUCCGCAGCGGCGAAGUGACACCCAACAGCCCGUCCCGACCGCACAGCUCCAUGAGCCAGCAGAGCGCCAGCAGCGUGGGCAGCAGUAAUGUCAAUCUGCGUUCCCGUACGGCCGCGUCGCGCCGACCGCGGCCUGCUUCUAUUGCCGGUACCGGUGUCUCGGUCACAGAGAAACACAAUCUGGUGGGCGAUGUGAAAUUAACGAAGGAUUCAAAGCCACCACUGCCAAAGGUCCAUAGCACUCCGAAGAAACCUUCUACACCGAAAGCCACGGAGGUGAAGAAGCCGACGGAGAAGUUAAUCAAGAAUGUCAAAUCGUCACCGCGAAUAACCCCGAAAGCGACUCCCCUGCAAAGUCCCGGAGCUGAGCAUGCACCGCUCAUCCGCGAGUCCACCGUGGAGAUAAUAAAGCAGAAUGACGCCAAGCAGGAUACGCAGGAUGUGAAGGAUGUGAAGGAUGUGAAGGAGGACAAGAACGAAGAGAAGAAGGAUCAGGGCAGUGAGAAGAUUCAGCAACAGGAAUCGAACAUCGCCGAAUCCGUAAUCGAAGAUACGAAGGUAGUAGAGGAACAAACCGUGCCUGUGUCAGCGAGCAAACAAGUCAAGGACGAGACUAAUCUGCUGCAAGAAAAUCUGUUGAGCACAGUUGCGGAGGAACCGCCGAAAGUCGCUAAAAAGGAGGAGAACAAACAAGAAAAGAAACCGACGGAGACGACUGAAGUCAAGUCCGAAAACGAAAUGGACGAGCAAGUCGACAUGUCAGCUUCGAUGAUCGCCAAGAUCAGAAUCACCACCGAGGAGGAGGCCAAAGCCGCUUUGGCCGAGCGUAGAAGAUUGGCGCGAGAACAAGCGGAACGAGAGGCGGAACUUGAGCGUCAGCGAAAGGAGGAAGAAGCGCGCUUAGAAGCUGAAAGAUUGCGCGCUGAGGAGGAGGAGCAACGCCGUCUGGAGGAGGAGACUCUACGCUUGGCUAAUGAAGCUCGAGAGGCAGAGGAACAGCGACUGCAAGUGGCGAUCGAGGAAGCCAAACGUCGCGAAGAAGAAGACAGAAGAAGAAGAGAAGAGGAAGCUCGUCAGAAACAGGAGAAGGAGGAAGCAGAGCGUAAAGCGAGAGAGGAGGCGGAAAGACAACGAAUUGAAAUGUCGGAGAAGCUGAAGAAGGAGGAGCAGGAACGCAACGCUAGACGCAAACGAGUCGAGGCGAUUAUGCUCAGGACGAGAGGCAAAAAUCAAUCUAACACGCCUACCAAGGGCGAGGCCGGUGAUGGCGACAAGUUGAAGGAAGAAAGUCCUAGCGACGAGAAUAAACCCGUACCGGGCGGUAAAGGUGAUGACGUUAUGACAGCUAGUUUAAUUUCCGAAGCAACUGAGCAGUUCAUUAGUGGUGAGCAGCGGGCGCAUCAGGCGGAAAACAACGCCGCGCCGGACAUUGUGCACAACGGCACGCAUAGCAACGGCAUUAACGAAAGUAAAAUUGUAUUGGAUAAUAAUCAGGGUAACGUUGAAGGAGAAUUGAACGGUCAUCACACGAAUCACGGGAACGGUAUCAACAGUCAGUCGAUUACACUGGACAAUGCCACUGUGUAAGUAUGCCAAUCCUUCAGUCACGGAUUCGCAAACACGUGUUAGACUUCACCGCACGAUAUACAGGGAGAUAUUUCUCGGCUCGUCGACCGCCGAGAAAGCACGAUGAUCAAAAUUUCACAAACAAUAACGAAACUGAUCCGAAAACGACUCGUCUCUUCUCGGUAGAUCGAUGGACAAUAAUAUCGUAGUAAUCGCGAGACUCGCGCUUCGGAAACGCGUAUCUCAUUGCAACGUACAUACCGAAGCCGAAGAACGUAACAAUAUAAUGAUAUGUAACGUUAUAAUUCCCGACACGUGUCUUCAGAAACCGAGAUUGAUAACGUUCACGCUUGUAUCAUUGAAAAGAAAAUAUAUUACCGAAAUAUAUCGAAGAGAUAAGUAUUGAAUUACUGAAUAGAAAAAGAGCUCGUUUUCAAGUCGCCAGAAAUCUGUUUUUUUGGAGAACGAAAAUUGUGCGCUUAUGGGCUUAUUUUAUGAGCUUUACAUGGCUUUCGUAACACACAAUUUCUACCUUCCUAAAAUAUAGACUGGAGACGCUUUGGAAAUUAUCAGCUCUUCGAUUGUUUUGUUGCGGAAUUACAAAAUUACGUUACAAACGUGGCAUGAAAAAUACAUUGGAACAAUUUUCUUCUAUUGUAUUUAAUUAAUCGGUAAGAAAAGGGAUAAUCAUAUGGAGCAUAGGUAGAUGAUAAUAUGCAACGUGCAGUUUACAUGCAAUUAACAUUUUUACAGGACAUAAAUAAUUGCACAAUACUAGCCAAUAUAUUAUUCGUCUAAAAUUGACUGAUUACUAGCAUAAUCGAAAACAAUGAUUGACCGUAUAGUUGGGCGGUCGCAAAACUAAAGCGUAUAUAUUAUCAUACAGUAUAAGACAGCUGAAGUAAUUUGCAAUAAGACGAUCAACUUUUAAAUAUUGCAUGUAAAACUCAAACAUAUUUACGUAAUAUAGAGGGAGGAAGAGAGAAAUUAUUUACGCCGCGCUAUGAAAGGCAAGAGGAAAAUCAAACCUAUUACUUCGGCAUCUUUCCUAUACACAAACUUCUCAAACAGAGUCUGUAUGAUUUAAAACCAUGUGCCACAUUACAUUAAAAUUAAGCAUAUUGUAUAAUUUUAUUUGUAAAUAGAAGCGAUGAGGGUUCUAAAUAAUAACGAACAAUUGUCGCACUACGUGAACAAAUUGAUUAUCCCAAGUUUUAAAUUCGUACAUGCAUAAAAGAAAUUUUGUGAUUUAGAACGGCAAUUAUUUAAAACUUUCAUUUGUGGCAGAAUAUAAAAUCUUUAGACAUGUAUUCCUAGAGGCCUUAUACUGUGUCAAAGGCUCUGUAUAUAAUGAAUUAUGUUGUUUGAGCUAUGUCUUGUAAUGUCGAUAAACUAUUAAAAUGAAUUAAUUAAGUUUUGAGAGUUAUAUACGUAUACAUAUGUAUGUACACAUUAUAAAUAGUUAUAUAGUAACGAAGUUUACUGCGCUUUCCCGAGGAUCGCUUCGAACUGCCUAUUCGACUUAAUUUUAUCGGACGUUCACUCGCUUCGUGCAAAUGUUACAAGUAAUCCACAUGUGUUGUACAUUGCAAAAGUAGUCAGAGCAACAAGGUUGACGAGUAUAAAUAAACACGCCAUUGCGAUUCACCGAUACGAUUAGCUGCACGAUUAUCAGCGUAUUAACCAACACAAACAAAUAAUUCCACACACGAAACACUAUCGCUACUGCAAUGAUAACAAAAGUACAGCUAGAAUUAUCAAAGAUAUCGGGAAUUAAUCGCGUAUGUACUCCGAUUUGUCUUUAGACGUUAUGUCAACGAGUUGGAAGAACGUUAUGUAAUACCGUACAUGAAGCAUGAAACCGUUAAGAACCACUAAACAGGAUUACACACUUAGCGCUAAAUUUCACGACAAAUAAACCUCAGUGUACAUAAUGUAAAGAGAGACAAACAGCAUAAAUCUAAUGAGACUCAUCGAAA